GAUGAAGAACGCAGCGAAAUGCGAUAAGUAAUGUGAAUUGCAGAAUUCAGUGAAUCAUCGAAUCUUUGAACGCACAUUGCGCCCCUUGGUAUUCCAUGGGGCAUGCCUGUUCGAGCGUCAUUUGUACCUUCAAGCUCUGCUUGGUGUUGGGUGUUUUGUCUCGCCUCUGCGUGUAGACUCGCCUUAAAACAAUUGGCAGCCGGCGUAUUGAUUUCGGAGCGCAGUACAUCUCGCGCUUUGCACUCAUAACGGCGACGUCCAAAAGUACAUUUUUACACUCUUGACCUCGGAUCAGGUAGGGAUACCCGCUGAACUUAAGCAUAUCAAUAAGCGGAGGA
Molecule: unclassified non-coding RNA, 338 nt
Filed under: soil metagenome
Description: partial contains 5.8S ribosomal RNA, internal transcribed spacer 2, and large subunit ribosomal RNA
Rfam family: 5.8S ribosomal RNA (bases 1-120)
Source: RNAcentral